CAGUCGCCGCGGGAAUACGUAGGGUGCAAGCGUUAAUCGGAAUUACUGGGCGUAAAGCGUGCGCAGGCGGUUAUAUAAGACAGAUGUGAAAUCCCCGGGCUCAACCUGGGAACUGCAUUUGUGACUGUAUAGCUAGAGUACGGCAGAGGGUGAUGGAAUUCCGCGUGUAGCAGUGAAAUGCGUAGAUAUGCGGAGGAACACCGAUGGCGAAGGCAAUCCCCUGGGCCUGUACUGACGCUCAUGCACGAAAGCGUGGGGAGCAAACAGGAUUAGAUACCCCUGUAGUCCCUGUCUCUUAUAC
RNAcentral lists this ribosomal RNA (301 nucleotides) under uncultured bacterium. RNAcentral describes it as "partial 16S ribosomal RNA". It matches the Rfam family "Bacterial small subunit ribosomal RNA", at positions 509 to 807 of the family's 1533-position model. The record is from RNAcentral.